UAAGUCUGCCACCUGGGGACUACUGCCGCAAGGUAAAUUUCAUAGGAUUUGUCUGGGGUCCGCACAAGCAGCGGAGCGUGUGGUUUAAUUCGAGGCUACACGAAGUACCUUACCUGGGCUUGACAUGGCGUUGGUAGGGAACCGAAAGGUGACCGACCUUCGGGAGCCGUCACAGGUGCUGCAUGGCUGUCGUCAGCUCGUGUCGUGAGAUGUUCGGUUAAGUCCGUUAACGAGCGCUACCCUCGCCGUUAGUUACAAGUGUCUAACGGGACUGCCCGUUGAACGCGGGAGGAAGGUGGGGAUGACGUCAAGUCAGCAUGGCCUUUAUGUCCAGGGCUACACACACGCUACAAUGGCCGGUACAAUGGGUCGCCAACCCGCGAGGGGGAGCCAAUCCAACAAAGCCGGUCUCAGUUCGGAUUGCAGGCUGCAACCCGCCUGCAUGAAGUCGGAGUUGCUAGUAACCGCAGGUCAGCUAUACUGCGGUGAAUACGUUCCCGGGCAUUGUACACACCGCCCGUCACGUCAUGGGAGCUGGUCAUGCCUGAAGUCGGUGGGCUAACCGAGAGGAGGCAACCGCCUAAGGCAGGGCUGGUGACUGGGACGAAGUCGUAACAAG
RNAcentral lists this ribosomal RNA (619 nucleotides) under uncultured organism. Its description in RNAcentral is "bacterial SSU rRNA". It matches the Rfam family "Bacterial small subunit ribosomal RNA", at positions 861 to 1495 of the family's 1533-position model. The record is from RNAcentral.